Molecule: ribosomal RNA, 440 nt
Filed under: Microbacterium sp. D28
Lineage: Bacteria; Bacillati; Actinomycetota; Actinomycetes; Micrococcales; Microbacteriaceae
Description: bacterial SSU rRNA
Rfam family: Bacterial small subunit ribosomal RNA
Source: RNAcentral
AUGGCUCAGGAUGAACGCUGGCGGCGUGCUUAACACAUGCAAGUCGAACGGUGAAGCAGAGCUUGCUCUGUGGAUCAGUGGCGAACGGGUGAGUAACACGUGAGCAACCUGCCCCUGACUCUGGGAUAAGCGCUGGAAACGGCGUCUAAUACUGGAUAUGUGACGUGRCCGCAUGGUCUGCGUCUGGAAAGAAUUUCGGUUGGGGAUGGGCUCGCGGCCUAUCAGCUUGUUGGUGAGGUAAUGGCUCACCAAGGCGUCGACGGGUAGCCGGCCUGAGAGGGUGACCGGCCACACUGGGACUGAGACACGGCCCAGACUCCUACGGGAGGCAGCAGUGGGGAAUAUUGCACAAUGGGCGAAAGCCUGAUGCAGCAACGCCGCGUGAGGGAUGACGGCCUUCGGGUUGUAAACCUCUUUUAGCAGGGAAGAAGCGAAAGGAC